Patella vulgata (common limpet) is the source of this 441-nucleotide long non-coding RNA. RefSeq lists it as uncharacterized. The transcript has 3 exons. NCBI's taxonomy places the organism in Eukaryota, Metazoa, Mollusca, Gastropoda, Patellidae. The record is from RefSeq and is a predicted model, not a curated record.
UACAAUAACAGGAUAUUCAUCUUUAAUUUGUUUUGGGGUCCAUAUGGGAUUGCUGACUGAGUGUAAUAACAGUACAUCAAAGAAACCGACAAGAAACACUGAAGAAAACGAUGGGAACAUGAAAGAAACCGGCGAUGCGGAGAUGAGACAGGAUAUAGAAUAUAGAGGAACUAUUGACUAACUUUAGUUUGGGGAUAUGGAUGUGUUACGUGUGUCCGGUGUGAUUUGAAGAAUGGAAAACCUAAUGAAAAUAUGACCGAAAUAAAAGCUUAACUCCAGUGGAAUCUUGAUCAUAUCAGUGAGAAAUACUAGUAUAUUUACCUCGAUGAUAUAUCGUGGAUUUUAACUAUGGAGUGUACAUUAACUAUUGGAUAUAACUAUAUAUGAUAGUAUGGAAUACCAUAUAAGGUUUGUGUUGAUACAUGAACCGUCUAGCUACUU